CCUACGGGAGGCAGCAGUGAGGAAUAUUGGUCAAUGGGCGCGAGCCUGAACCAGCCAAGUAGCGUGAAGGAUGACUGCCCUACGGGUUGUAAACUUCUUUUAUAAAGGAAUAAAGUGAGGCACGUGUGCCUUUUUGUGUGUACUUUAUGAAUAAGGAUCGGCUAACUCCGUGCCAGCAGCCGCGGUAAUACGGAGGAUUCAAUCGUGAUCCGGAUUUAUUGGGUGUAAAGGGAGCGUAGAUGGGUUGAUAAGUCAGUUGUGAAAGUUUGCGGCUCAACCGUAAAAUUGCAAUUGAUACUGGCAGUCUAGAGUACAGUUGAGGUAGGCGGAAUUCGUGGUGUAGCGGUGAAAUGCUUAGAUAUCACGAAGAACUCCGAUUGCGAAGGCAGCUUACUAAACUGCCACUGACAUUGAUGCUCGAAAGUGUGGGUAUCAAACAGGAUUAGAUACCCCGGUAGUC
This 460-nucleotide ribosomal RNA is filed under the name uncultured bacterium. Its description in RNAcentral is "partial 16S ribosomal RNA". It matches the Rfam family "Bacterial small subunit ribosomal RNA", at positions 338 to 795 of the family's 1533-position model. The record is from RNAcentral.